AUGAGCUCGUCGACGACGUCCGGGCAGGGGCAGGGCGACGAGGCGCCGGACCUGGUGUGCGUGGUGGACUGCGUGCAUGGCAUGGUCGACGCCCUCUCCUGCGUCCGCUGGAACAAGCAUCAGGGCGCGGUGGUGGAGCUGUCGGAGCACGGCAUCGUGGUCACCGUGGAGGAGAGCGGCUGCCUCCAGGCCAAGGUCUACCUCAAGACCGAGUGCAGGUCAGUGGGGUCUCCAGAUGCAUGUAUACAUGCAGAAAUCAGAACCAGAAUUCCUGAUACUGUCGCCUGGGAUUACCAUUUUGAGCAUGCAGGGAAUACUCCAGUCACUUUUACUGUUAAGUCUGCCAUCCUGAAAGAAUCAAUUGAUGACCUUGAGUGGCCAGGCUCCAGCAUUCAGAUUCAAUUUCAUCCAGACCCCCCUUCAGUAAUAUUUAAAGGCGAAGGGCAUGGUGACUUGGAGAUUGAAUUCUCCUACUAUGCAAAUACCGAUCUUCUAAUUGCAUUCCAGUGUGACCAAGAACUGUCCUACAGGUAUAAGUACAAGUUUCUUCGUGCCACUACCUCGAAUGUUCCAAGUAGCGUCUUGAAGGAGAAUCGUGGGAGUAAAGUGACGAUUGGGAGGGGAGGGAUGCUCAAAAUCCAGCACCUGGUUUCAGUUGCAAGGCUAGGUACGCAAUCCUACCAUAAUUUUGCUGGAGGGGCUCAACAGCCAAGCCGGAUUGCUUUUAUCGAAUUCUUUGUGAAGCCGGAGGAGGAUGAUUAA
RNAcentral lists this ribosomal RNA (762 nucleotides) under Triticum aestivum (bread wheat). RNAcentral's name for it is "partial small subunit ribosomal RNA". The record is from RNAcentral. Lineage: Eukaryota; Viridiplantae; Streptophyta; Magnoliopsida; Poales; Poaceae.